AAGGUGGGACAAAUGAUUGGGGUGAAGUCGUAACAAGGUAGCCGUAUCGGAAGGUGCGGCUGGAUCACCUCCUUUCUAAGGA
This 82-nucleotide ribosomal RNA is filed under the name Staphylococcus aureus. RNAcentral's name for it is "partial 16S ribosomal RNA". It matches the Rfam family "Bacterial small subunit ribosomal RNA", at positions 1459 to 1533 of the family's 1533-position model. The record is from RNAcentral. RNAcentral also lists the same sequence under 1 other name. Lineage: Bacteria; Bacillati; Bacillota; Bacilli; Caryophanales; Staphylococcaceae.